RNAcentral lists this ribosomal RNA (254 nucleotides) under uncultured Stenotrophomonas sp. RNAcentral's name for it is "partial 16S ribosomal RNA". It matches the Rfam family "Bacterial small subunit ribosomal RNA", at positions 99 to 355 of the family's 1533-position model. The record is from RNAcentral. Lineage: Bacteria; Pseudomonadati; Pseudomonadota; Gammaproteobacteria; Lysobacterales; Lysobacteraceae.
CGGACGGGUGAGGAAUACAUCGGAAUCUACUCUGUCGUGGGGGAUAACGUAGGGAAACUUACGCUAAUACCGCAUACGACCUACGGGUGAAAGCAGGGGAUCUUCGGACCUUGCGCGAUUGAAUGAGCCGAUGUCGGAUUAGCUAGUUGGCGGGGUAAAGGCCCACCAAGGUGACGAUCCGUAGCUGGUCUGAGAGGAUGAUCAGCCACACUGGAACUGAGACACGGUCCAGACUCCUACGGGAGGCAGCAGCU